GAUGAACGCUGGCGGCGUGCCUAAUACAUGCAAGUCGAACGAAACUUCUUUAUCACCGAGUGCUUGCACUCACCGAUAAAGAGUUGAGUGGCGAACGGGUGAGUAACACGUGGGCAACCUGCCCAAAAGAGGGGGAUAACACUUGGAAACAGGUGCUAAUACCGCAUAACCAUAGUUACCGCAUGGUAACUAUGUAAAAGGUGGCUAUACUACCGCUUUUGGAUGGGCCCGCGGCGCAUUAGCUAGUUGGUAGGGUAAAGGCUUACCAAGGCAAUGAUGCGUAGCCGGAUUGAGAGGUUGAUCGGCCACAUUGGGACUGAGACACGGCCCAAACUCCUACGGGAGGCAGCAGUAGGGAAUCUUCCACAAUGGGCGAAAGCCUGAUGGAGCAACGCCGCGUGGGUGAAGAAGGUCUUCGGAUCGUAAAACCCUGUUGUUAGAGAAGAAAGUGCGUGAGAGUAACUGUUCACGUUUCGACGGUAUCUAACCGGAAAGCCACGGCUAACUACGUG
RNAcentral lists this ribosomal RNA (512 nucleotides) under uncultured bacterium. Its description in RNAcentral is "partial 16S ribosomal RNA". It matches the Rfam family "Bacterial small subunit ribosomal RNA", at positions 28 to 507 of the family's 1533-position model. The record is from RNAcentral.